Molecule: ribosomal RNA, 497 nt
Filed under: uncultured bacterium
Lineage: Bacteria
Description: partial 16S ribosomal RNA
Rfam family: Bacterial small subunit ribosomal RNA
Source: RNAcentral
GAUGAACGCUGGCGGCGUGCCUAAUACAUGCCAGUCGAGCGAACGGACGAGAAGCUUGCUUUUCUGAUGUUAGCGGCGGACGGGUGAGUAACACGUGGAUAACCUACCUAUAAGACUGGGAUAACUUCGGGAAACCGGAGCUAAUACCGGAUAAUAUUUUGAACCGCAUGGUUCAAAAGUGAAAGACGGUCUUGCUGUCACUUAUAGAUGGAUCCGCGCUGCAUUAGCUAGUUGGUAAGGUAACGGCUUACCAAGGCAACGAUGCAUAGCCGACCUGAGAGGGUGAUCGGCCACACUGGAACUGAGACACGGUCCAGACUCCUACGGGAGGCAGCAGUAGGGAAUCUUCCGCAAUGGGCGAAAGCCUGACGGAGCAACGCCGCGUGAGUGAUGAAGGUCUUCGGAUCGUAAAACUCUGUUAUUAGGGAAGAACAUAUGUGUAAGUAACUGUGCACAUCUUGACGGUACCUAAUCAGAAAGCCACGGCUACCUACGUG